Molecule: long non-coding RNA, 6226 nt
Filed under: Sus scrofa (pig)
Lineage: Eukaryota; Metazoa; Chordata; Mammalia; Artiodactyla; Suidae
Description: lncRNA (ENSSSCG00015065221.1)
Source: RNAcentral
UUUUUUUUUUUUUUUUUUGGAAAGGUGUCAUUGUCUCACCCGGAGACAUCAACCAGAUCAAAUCUCUGGCACUGAAAAUGGAGGUGGCUCGAAAGCGGAGGCGAACUGACCUGGGAGCGCGGAGUCGCCAUGUGGCUCCUCGGCCACCCCUCUCACAGCUGGUGUGUAUUUGAUGGCGGGCGAUAGUAAAGUUUAUUUAACAGGCGCAAGUAAAGAUUUGGGAAAGCCUCCGUUUUAAUGAUAUUCUCAUGAUGGUUCCACCACUUAAGGUUCUUUGGUUUCUAGCAACACAACUCAUCUUACCUAAUUUAAGUAAAAAAGAACCUUAAGGGGACUGGAUCUCUGAACAGAAAGAGCAUAACAACAGACAGACGAAGGGCUGGAUCAGGGCCGCUCCUGGGUCGAGGCACGAGGAAGCGGUGACUGAGGGAGCAGCAGGACACGGAGGAGUGGACCUCAUUGGCCUCCGUCUCCGUCGGUCCGCACAAUGCCCAUCUCCCCAGACAGGGGCAGGACUGGUGCGGGCCCCAAGGCCCAGAGGCAGGAGGCAUAGCUCGGGAAAAGGAGGAAAGGAGUGGUGGGGAAACUUAGUGGUGAAGAAGGAAGGUUGCCGAGGAGUCGGCCGCAGCCCCGCCGCCUCCCAGUGACAGGAAGACCUGAGGGUUCAGAGACAGAUGUGAUGACCCAGAAUGAGCCUGCCCCAGACACACCUGCUUGCUGUUGGCCUCUGCACUGGCUCUCCGCACAGCUCCAAGAGUUGCUGUCCUUUCCCCAAGAGAAGCACUCACAGCAUGGAGCCUGGCUUGAAUGGUCGGAAUACCUUAUCUAAGAAAACACCUAGAAGUUCAACCAAAAGCAGAUGUCAAGAAGCAGGUGGGGGAGUUCCCACUGUGGCUCAGGAGGUUAAGAACCCAACAUUGUCCCUUUGAGGAUGUGGGUUCAAUUCUUGGCCUCACUCCAAUGAGGAUGUUGAGGUGUGGGUUGCAGACACGGCUCAGAUCCAGUACUGUGGUCCAUAUGCCGCAGGUGCGGCCCUUAAAAAAAGAAAAAAGGAGUGUGUGGAAAUCCCCAAUGUCUUCCAUCCUAGACAUUUUCCUUGUAUUCCACUUCGGAGGGAAGACCCCGGAAUCCAAGUCAGGCUCUGUUGGUGGCUCUCCCAAGACGCUGCCCUGUGCCCUGUUGCUCUGGUCCCACCCCCCAUCUUCCUAGAGGAUCUCAGCUGCACCUGCUGGCUUGCGGAUUCACUCCGAGAGAGGCAAAGACCCCGCAGCUGCGUGUUUGGGGACUGUUGCUUCUGCCCCUCCCAUGGUCUCUGAAGCCCCCUUCACACUGGCAGGCAUCUCAGAGGCUCAGAAAAUAAGCCGUCACUCAGAAUGAAUGACAGCCACCAAGGGGCUAGCUGGCUGCUCUGUGCUGACCAAGGCCCCCAGUCUCUUCAUAGGUCUGCCUGUUCGGAGCCCAUGAGCGCUAAAGAAAGCCAGCCCUCGCCACACGCAGCCCACCUGCCCAGGGUCUGGCAUCCGCUUCCUCCUCUAUUCAUUUAGACGUUUCCACGGCUCUUUUUAGCCAAAGAGUACACAGCAGCACUUCUCUUCUUUGGUUACAGGUGCCCUGUGGUCAAAUGUUUCCCCCUCUCUCUCUCUCUCUAUUUUGCUGUAUUCCUGGCAUUUCAUUCAAGGCUUAUGUGAAGGCUUUUAGCAUUUCUCUCCCAAGUUUCCCAUGCACCUCACAAGGUGCUUUUUAAAAGCUUUGCAGAGUGCUGAGCACAGUAAUUGAAUCAUUUCUUUGCUGUUUAGAUGUCUGGAUACAAUGAAGUCUCUCGAUAAGAAGCGUGCCCUCCCCGGCCUGGCGUUACGGUCAGUUUCUGUAGCUAUUAAGCAAAGCCAUAAGCUUUUUGGGAAAAGCCUGCCCACCUGGGACAUUUUGUAUUAUUGUUUUUCCAAAGGAUACAGUUCAUGAUUGCCGAGGUUCUUUCUUUGCCUCAUGAAUAAUACACCAAGGAUAAUAGACUGUUCUCUAUUUUUUAUUUAUGAAUCUAGGAUUUGGGGCAGGAAAAAGCAGAGCUCAGUUGUUCUGAGGAGGGUGUAUCCCCGUCGGGAUGCAUCCACUGUGCCCAGGCACACACGUAGCUGACCAGGAAUGCCAGAGCAGGGCCACAGCCUUUGUGCCCCAUGCAUGAAGGGCCAAGUAGCACUGCAUUCUGAGAAAAUCCCCAGAGAUCAGUCCUCAUCAGAAAGGAGCCUCGUGCAAAUUUUGGAGACAAAGGAAAAUAGCUAUUUCCACAUUUCAACACCUCAACUUGUUAAAGCAAAUAUGCUAGCUUUGUAGUUGAAUCCACCAGCAUGGCCAUUACAAAUGGAAUCGCACUUUAAGAAAAAGAAUUAGGAGCCCCUAGUGGCUCGGCAGGUUAAGGAUCCAGCGUUGUCACUGCUGUGGCGUGUGGUGUCAAUCCCUGGCCCAGGAACUUGCUGCAGGCGUGGCCAAAAAAAAUUGUUUUCAAUAAAAUUUUUUUAAAAGAGUAAGGGUUUCCCAUUGCGGCUCAGCAUGCUCACCUGCCCUCGUGUCCUUAAGGAUGUGGGUUCCAUCCCUGGCCUCGCUCAGCGGGUUAAGGAUCUGCAGUUGCCAUGAGCUGUGGCGUAGGCCUGCAGCUGCAGCUCCCAUUCGACCCCUAGCCUGGGGAUGUCCCCACGUCACAGGCAUGACGGUAAAAGAAAAAAGAGAGAGAAGAAAAAUUAAGCAAAACACAAGCUAUAAUGCUGCUCUGUACUGGAAGAUUUUCUGAGCUAUGCUUCAGCCAUGGACUUCUGCUGUCCAAAAGUGUCUCAGAAAUGACUGAAAACUCAUGACGACCCAAAAAUCCGGUCCACACUGAAACCUAAGACAAUCAUGCCCCAGAUUUGGAAGCCAACCCAGCCAAGACACGUGAGUCUUUUGUGCCUCGGUUAUCAAGAUAUGUGGGUAAUCCUUGGCGUCCCUUCGACUGGCCCCAGGAAACUGAGUUGGUGAGACUGACUCCUCCCUCCUGGAAGCAUUUAAAUAGACUGAGAAGGCUCUGUCUCCCUAGGCUUCAGCCCUGCUCUGUGAGUGGCUCCCGGGGCCGAGAAAGCCAGGCGCUGUGCCAGGCUCUGACGUCACCCAGGGCUACGUGCCCCUGGGCCCACCAGCACGGGCACAUGUUGCCUGGAUAUUCAGCACUCAGAAGCAGUCUUCAGCUGGAGCCCCGCAAAGACCCCCAAUCAUGGUGCCCACCUCCCUCUGGGGACAGUCGCUAGGGUCACCAGGAGAGUAUGGAAUGUGGGGAAGAACGCGUCUUAAUUCCUCCUAGUUCGCUCCCAAUGGCCAGUGGAGUCAACAGGCAUAGGCCACCAGACUCUUAGAGCCGACGGGCUCAGUGGCGAAGUGGACAGACUCACAUGACCACACAAACAAACCAUGUUUGCCGGGCUUCCACUGCCUGCCCUGCAGGGGCUCCUGGUGGCUCUUCUGAUCAGGCUGUUCAUUCCAAUUGCUCUGCUGGAGUGACGACACCUGAGGCUACACUGCCAAGCUCAGCUGCUCCACGAGAGGGAAGUCAAGAGAAUUAGCCAGGUAGCAAAACAUGGCAGGUGCACCUCCCUGGUCGAGACACAGGAAAGGGGUUCCCUUUGUGGCUCAGUGGGUUAACAACCCACCUAGAAUCCAGGAAAAUGCAGUUCGAUCCUGGCCUCGCUCAGUGGGUCAAGGAUCUGGCAUUGCCAAAAGCUGUGGUGUAGGCCACAGAGGUGGCUAGGAUCCAUCAUGGCUGUGGCUGUGGUGUAGGCUACCAACUGCAGCUCUGAUUCGACCCCUAGCCUGGGAACUUCCACAUGCCACUUCAGGGGUGGCCUUAAAAAAUGCCACACCUGCAGAAAAAAAAAAGGAUCAAUUAUGUUAGUCAUAUGAUGAAAUUACAGAGAGAAAUGGAGAUGAAUAAACAACACACGAUACCAUGAAUUAAUCUCACAAAGGUAAUAUUAAGAAGAGGAGACUCUGGCACAUUUCCACGUCUACGGAACACAGUCAGGGGAGCACAGUGCCUUGUUAGGGGCCUGCGUGGGGAGGCGAUGAGCUUCUAGGUAAAGAAGUGGGCACCGGUGUUAGGGUCCUGCUCACCUCUGGCCGGGAGAAGGGCACUGGGCUGGAGGGAGCACGGGCAGGCCUCUGGCCUCCGUCUCCCCCACUCCUGUGCGGUUAGACGGGCCAGCCGCUGGCUCAGGUCUCCACUUCCCAGCAGAGCCGUGGAGGCGGCGGCACGGCUUCCAGGGAGCUUGGCGCCCACUCAGCAAACCAGCAGGGCCACAGGCCUCCCGCUCCCGGCCGAGGUCCCCCAUUCUGGCUUGCAUUUGGCCUUCAGAGUGCCGUUUCCUAAUUCCAUCUUUAGUUCCUCUCUGGAACCAGCUGGGGAGGAAGCCCAGAUCGGUAACUAAUGGACCCAGUGGAAUGAUAAGCUCUCCCGGAGAAGAGAAGGCCUGGAGCCUUGCAGACGAGCUCCCAUUAACCAAGUCAGCUAGUGCCCCUUGGCAGGUGCAGGAGAAAUGGUUCCGAGAACUCGAGUCACUGAGCUGGGGCCGCCACCCAGAGUCCGAGAGAAGAGCCCGCUGGGGCAGCACGCUCCGGUCUAUUUGUAUCAUCUGUCUGAUCUGUUCUCAGCUCCAGCUGUACACUUGAAUCCCUUGAGCAGCUCUUCUCCCCAAGCCGAUGACAUCAGAACCUCCGGGGGAAGCCUGCAGGCAUCCGUGCCAGGCAACAGCUCCCCAGAGACGUCUGGAGGGCAGCCAGAGCGGAGAGGCACCCUUGGCUUGUUUACAGCUGCCGACUGUGUCCCGGGCACCUGUGAGCAACAGCAACAGAGGCGUCAGCCAGGAGAGCCCGCCCUCACCAUCCACAGAGACCUACGCAAAAGAAAAUCAUGGGUCCGUCAGGGACCACGCACCCAUGGGGAGGCAGGUCGCUCAUCUUGAGAAGCAGAUGUUUUUAAAGGGGGGAGAGGAUUCCGGCUGGUGACCUUCAGUGAAUCGCGUUUCGCUGUCACACCGUCAACAUGCAUUCAGACCAUUGCCGAGGACUGGUUCUGCUUAUGAGAUAAGCAUCCUCCCCUGUGACUCCGUGACCCUGCUGUCCUCUUCGUCUCGUGAGAAACCUCGUUCAGAGUCUCCCCUUUGCUCUGCAGGAUGUACGUAAGCAGCAUUUUCCUCCUUCCUCUAAGUGCGGCCUUUCCCCGCUGGCCUUGAACUCCAGAAAUGGGACAGACAGGCUUGCGCUCUUGGUGAGUUUUGUGUUUACAAUGAUGGCUGAAUUUUCUUUAUCCUUUUGGACCAAGACGCUUGAUAUUUUAAAUGACCUCGCUCUCUUUUUAGAAGGGAUGAUUAAAUGUGCGUGUCAUUGGCCUGUGUCCCCCCAUAAUGAAGCACCUGGGGUCUGUAAUUCUCAGCUCCGCUGCAUUAGCAGGGCGCAGGGAAAAUAUUUACUUAGCACUUAUCAUGUGUCAAGCAAUUUGCUAUGUGCUUUACAUACAUUAUCUAAAUGAUGUCUCCCAGUAAUAUCAGACCUUUGGCACAAACCUCCCAGGUUACAAAUGCAGGGGGAAUGAGAUUCCGCGAGGACGGGUCAGAGGACAGGUAAAAAGCAGCCCUUUGAGGGUUUGACAAACAUCUCCGUCACAGUCAGAGCCGCUCUGUUUCCAAUCAGUGCCUCUUCCUGCCCCAAACUUCACCGCGUGGUGGUCACAGAUCUGUGCUCCCCACUCCGGCGACUUUCCCAAUGCAAACUCCCAAGUCUCAGCCGUUCCACACCGUGACAUGCUCUCGUUAAUUUAAUAAAUUAAAUCUGCUAACGGAAGAUGGUCCAGCCAAUGAAUCAGAAAGAGAUGAAUCAGAAAUGCACUUUGCUCUUAAGGGAAUUUAUAAACUAUUAGAGGGAGUGAUACACAUGCAUAAUACUAAUUAAAACCAAUACACCCGUGCAUCCCUGUCUUGGUCGGGGGAGAGGGAGUCGGGGAGAACCAGGGCCGGAGCCAAGGAGAGAGAAAGAGCCCAGGGCUCCAGACGGGCGUUCCGGUUGAGAUGCGUACAGCGCCUCUGGCAUCCCCUUCAAGGCUGGUUAUUGGCCCCAGGGUCUACUUUCUCCCAGACUCAGAGGUGGUGCCAAACUGCACUUGAAGUAGCCAGAGUCUAAAAAUACGAUACGCAUGAACUUAUUUCCAAAAUGA